RNAcentral lists this ribosomal RNA (605 nucleotides) under uncultured fungus. RNAcentral describes it as "LSU rRNA". It matches the Rfam family "Eukaryotic large subunit ribosomal RNA", at positions 38 to 667 of the family's 3401-position model. Lineage: Eukaryota; Fungi. The record is from RNAcentral.
GCAUAUCAAUAAGCGGAGGAAAAGAAACCAACAGGGAUUGCCUCAGUAACGGCGAGUGAAGCGGCAAAAGCUCAAAUUUGAAAUCUAGCACCUUCGGUGUUCGAGUUGUAAUUUGAAGAUGGUAACCUUGGGUUUGGCUCUUGUCUAUGUUCCUUGGAAAAGGACGUCAUAGAGGGUGAGAAUCCCGUCUGAUGAGAUGCCCAUUCCUAUGUAAGGUGCUAUCGAAGAGUCGAGUUGUUUGGGAAUGCAGCUCUAAGUGGGUGGUAAAUUCCAUCUAAAGCUAAAUAUUGGCGAGAGGCCGAUAGCGAACAAGUACAGUGAUGGAAAGAUGAAAAGAACUUUGAAAAGAGAGUGAAAAAGUACGUGAAAUUGUUGAAAGGGAAGGGUAUUGAAUCAGACGUGGUGCUGUUGUUCAGCUUUGUUUCGGCAUGGUGUACUCAGCAGUACUAGGCCAAGGUGGGGUGUUUGGGAGUGAAAAAGAAAUAGGAACGUAGCUCUUCGGAGUGUUAUAACCUGUUUUCAUAGCUCCUCAGGCGCCUCAGGACUGCGCUUCGGCAAGGACUUUGGCAUAAUGAUUCUAUACCGCCCGUCUUGAAACACGGACC